Molecule: long non-coding RNA, 790 nt
Organism: Beta vulgaris subsp. vulgaris (sugar beet)
Lineage: Eukaryota; Viridiplantae; Streptophyta; Magnoliopsida; Caryophyllales; Amaranthaceae
Exons: 3
Source: RefSeq, a predicted model, not a curated record
ACCAAAAAACCCUAACCAUUUUCUUUCUCUCUCUCCGUGGUCCUCUGUUCUCUCUAAACCCCAAAAACUCAAAAAACACCAAAUCCCAAUUCUCUCGCUCUCACGAGUCCUGCCGGAUACCUCACUGACGAAUGACUGCCGGACUGAUUGUCGUCGUCGUCGCGCUGCUGCUGUUGUUCUAGCGGUGCUGCCGCAGUUGUUGUUGUUGGUUGUCGGUGACGUUGUUGUUGCCGUUGUUCUGUUUUUUUUUUUCUUUCUCUCUCGCCAACUCCUUUGUUCUCGCUGGUUCUUGUUGCUGGUGCUCUUCACUACCAUUAUAUCUCUUGCCUUGGUGGUGUUGUCAUUGUUGUUGUUGGUUUCCGCUGCUGCUCGUCGGUGCUCUGCCGCGCCGAAGCCUCGAAUUCCUUCAUCCCUUUGUCUUCGCUGCUCCUAGUAGAGCAGAGGUGAUUAUUGGAGAUUGAUUUUGAAUAAAGAGAUAUCGGACUCUUGAAGAUUGUUAUGGAGUCGAGUGCUAUUCAAAGAUGUGUAGAGAGUUCAUUGUUAGUGAUCUUGCAGGUUCGUGUGCGGAAAGCUCGGAAUGGAGUAAAAGGAAGAAUCUAGGUAUCAAGGUUAUAAUUAGAUGUAAUGGUUCAGAGGCUGUAUUUAGGAUUAUAUAUCUUUGCGAAGAAAUUAUUAUAUUGCUUUAGAAGUCGAGCAAGGUAUUAUGUAAUAUGUUAUUUGGUUAUUGAGGAUGAUUUGUUGUGGGCCCUGACCCACAGGUCCAGGAUCGUGUAAAUAGGUUGUGUUUGCG